This 73-nucleotide transfer RNA is filed under the name Pontibacter chinhatensis. RNAcentral describes it as "tRNA_Gln_TTG". It matches the Rfam family "tRNA". Rfam says of the family: Transfer RNA (tRNA) molecules are approximately 80 nucleotides in length. Their secondary structure includes four short double-helical elements and three loops (D, anti-codon, and T loops). Further hydrogen bonds mediate the characteristic L-shaped molecular structure. tRNAs have two regions of fundamental functional importance: the anti-codon, which is responsible for specific mRNA codon recognition, and the 3' end, to which the tRNAs corresponding amino acid is attached (by aminoacyl-tRNA synthetases). tRNAs cope with the degeneracy of the genetic code in two manners: having more than one tRNA (with a specific anti-codon) for a particular amino acid; and 'wobble' base-pairing, i.e. permitting non-standard base-pairing at the 3rd anti-codon position. The record is from RNAcentral. RNAcentral also lists the same sequence under 2 other names. Lineage: Bacteria; Pseudomonadati; Bacteroidota; Cytophagia; Cytophagales; Hymenobacteraceae.
UGUCCGAUGGUGUAACUGGCAACACGUCUGAUUUUGGUUCAGAAGAGUCCAGGUUCGAUCCCUGGUCGGACAA